Molecule: small nuclear RNA, 137 nt
Filed under: Felis catus (domestic cat)
Lineage: Eukaryota; Metazoa; Chordata; Mammalia; Carnivora; Felidae
Description: U4 spliceosomal RNA (ENSFCAG00000043421.1)
Rfam family: U4 spliceosomal RNA
About the family: U4 small nuclear RNA (U4 snRNA) is a component of the major U2-dependent spliceosome. The structure of U4 snRNA from yeast and human has been reported. U4 snRNA presents a k-turn RNA motif in the 5p-SL related to recognition of Snu13 protein.
Source: RNAcentral
UGCUUUGCGCAGUGCAGUAUCCUAGCCCAUGAGGUUUGUCCGCGGCGGGUAUUGCUAGUUGAACACUUUAACCAAUUACCCUGUGUGAUGACUGAAAAUAUAGUCGUCGCUGGCAAUUUUGACAGUCUCACACGAGU